RNAcentral lists this ribosomal RNA (265 nucleotides) under uncultured bacterium. RNAcentral's name for it is "partial 16S ribosomal RNA". It matches the Rfam family "Bacterial small subunit ribosomal RNA", at positions 793 to 1055 of the family's 1533-position model. The record is from RNAcentral.
GUCCACGCCGUAAACGAUGAGUGCUAAGUGUUGGAGGGUUUCCGCCCUUCAGUGCUGCAGCUAACGCAUUAAGCACUCCGCCUGGGGAGUACGACCGCAAGGUUGAAACUCAAAAGGAAUUGACGGGGACCCGCACAAGCGGUGGAGCAUGUGGUUUAAUUCGAAGCAACGCGAAGAACCUUACCAGGUCUUGACAUCCUUUGACAAUCCUAGAGAUAGGACUUUCCCUUCGGGGACAAAGUGACAGGUGGUGCAUGGUUGUCGU